GGGUUGUGAGGUUAAGCGACUAAGCGUACACGGUGGAUGCCCUGGCAGUCAGAGGCGAUGAAGGACGUGCUAAUCUGCGAUAAGCGUCGGUAAGGUGAUAUGAACCGUUAUAACCGGCGAUUUCCGAAUGGGGAAACCCAGUGUGAUUCGUCACACUAUCGUUAACUGAAUACAUAGGUUAACGAAGCGAACCGGGGGAACUGAAACAUCUAAGUACCCCGAGGAAAAGAAAUCAACCGAGAUUCCC
Molecule: ribosomal RNA, 247 nt
Filed under: Salmonella enterica subsp. enterica serovar Kentucky
Lineage: Bacteria; Pseudomonadati; Pseudomonadota; Gammaproteobacteria; Enterobacterales; Enterobacteriaceae
Description: partial 23S ribosomal RNA
Rfam family: Bacterial large subunit ribosomal RNA
Source: RNAcentral